UACGUAGGGGGCAAGCGUUAUCCGGAUUUACUGGGUGUAAAGGGAGCGUAGACGGCAGUGCAAGUCUGAAGUGAAAGGCAAGGGCUCAACCCUUGGACUGCUUUGGAAACUGUGCUGCUGGAGUGUCGGAGAGGCAAGUGGAAUUCCUAGUGUAGCGGUGAAAUGCGUAGAUAUUAGGAGGAACACCAGUGGCGAAGGCGACUUUCUGGACGAUAACUGACGUUGAGGCACGAAAGUGUGGGGAGCAAACAGG
This 253-nucleotide ribosomal RNA is filed under the name uncultured bacterium. Its description in RNAcentral is "partial 16S ribosomal RNA". It matches the Rfam family "Bacterial small subunit ribosomal RNA", at positions 524 to 776 of the family's 1533-position model. The record is from RNAcentral.